UACGUAGGGCGCAAGCGUUGUCCGGAAUUAUUGGGCGUAAAGAGCUCGUAGGCGGUUUGUCGCGUCUGCUGUGAAAACUGGGGGCUCAACCCCCAGCCUGCAGUGGGUACGGGCAGACUAGAGUGCGGUAGGGGAGAUUGGAAUUCCUGGUGUAGCGGUGGAAUGCGCAGAUAUCAGGAGGAACACCGAUGGCGAAGGCAGAUCUCUGGGCCGUAACUGACGCUGAGGAGCGAAAGCAUGGGGAGCGAACAGG
RNAcentral lists this ribosomal RNA (253 nucleotides) under uncultured bacterium. RNAcentral describes it as "partial 16S ribosomal RNA". It matches the Rfam family "Bacterial small subunit ribosomal RNA", at positions 524 to 776 of the family's 1533-position model. The record is from RNAcentral.